Molecule: ribosomal RNA, 441 nt
Filed under: uncultured bacterium
Lineage: Bacteria
Description: bacterial SSU rRNA
Rfam family: Bacterial small subunit ribosomal RNA
Source: RNAcentral
AACGCGAAGAACCUUACCUGGGCUCGAACGGCUCACGAACCUCCUUGGAAAUAUCGUCUUCCCGCAAGGGACAGUAGUAGAGGUGCUGCAUGGCUGUCGUCAGCUCGUGCCGUGAGGUGUUGGGUUAAGUCCCGCAACGAGCGCAACCCUUACUCGUAGUUGCUACCCGCAAGGGAGAACUCUACGAGGACUGCUCCGGAUAACGGAGAGGAAGGUGGGGAUGACGUCAAGUCAGCACGGCCUUUAUGUCCAGGGCUACACACGUGUUACAAUGCACGGUACAGACUGUUGCGAACCCGCGAGGGGGAGCUAAUCGGAUAAAACCGUGCUCAGUUCGGAUUGCAGUCUGCAACUCGGCUGCAUGAAGCUGGAAUCGCUAGUAAUGGCGUAUCAGAUCGACGCCGUGAAUACGUUCCCGGGCCUUGUACACACCGCGUGUCU